GGCCAAUCAGAACACGGGGGUGUGUGUGGUUGGGCGUGGCCUGUCUGUGUUGCUGUGAAAAUGUCGAUGGACAGGGUUUUUGUUUUUUCCAUUAAAGCGAGGCAGCACGGUGGAUUUCAUAAUAACUGGUGGCUCGGUGGGAGGUAAUGGCAGCGGUGACGAGGUGGCAAAGAGACCGGACGUGUUGCGAAAGACGCGGUAGGCCGUCGACCCUGCCGAGAGACACUGUUUUACUUCCAAGUGUACUUGAAAUACAGUCUAACGUCAUUUAUAUGGAUACAGGUUACAAGGGUGGUCGGUCGGUUGUUUUUAGGGACUCGGCUGAUUUAAUUAUUAUUUUGUUUAAAACUAUUACAAGGUUGUUUUGUUCUUUUUUUAUUUUAUUUAAGGACAUCGAUAAUUGUUUUUUUUUUUUUUUUACUUUAUUGUCGCGAUCUAGGCUAGUGCGCAAUUCCCAGCGUUGUUUCCGACGUCAUCCGGAAAUAAGCAGGAUAUUUGAUCACAGCUGUUUCCUUAUAAAACAUGACUGAGCUGAUUUAUGCCUGAUUUCCCAGCGCCGGGGCAGCGGAGGAGGGUGGGAUGGAGAGGUGUUCCUGCAGGAGGAUGUUGCGCACUUCAAUUUACCUCAGGAGUGAGUGGUCUCUACAUCCACGCAGAACUGCGCAAUCAUUUCGCUUAUGUUGUAGCUGUUGUCUUGUCUAUUAUUUGAUUUGAUUGUAUAUUUGAAUGCAGUUUAUUAAACUUGUUAUAUCCCUUUGAAGGUUAACAUUGUAAGUUGCAGUAUAAGUUCGUAGAAUACGUUGUAGAGGGAGGGAAAUUCGUUUUAACUAGUAUUCAGUUUUUAAAAAAAGGAAGCAUUUGUAAGGAAACAUUUUUUGUUGUUGUUACCUUUUCAAGAAAUUUAAAUGAUUGUGUCACUAUUGCAUCUUUCAGAGUGCGUCAUGCUGUAUCUGGUUAAUACCCUUCCCAGCCAAGCAUACUGUAUUCAAACCGUAACAUUAGUGAAGAAAUGUAAAAUAAGUAAGGACUUAAUUCAACAGUAUUUUGUUGGCUAUGGACCUAAAGUUAAAAUCAUCUGAGAUUGUUUUUCCCAUCGUGCAUUGUCAGAAAUAGAUUGCCUUCAAAUAGCUUAGUUUAAAGAAAAUCCGCUCUGGUUGAUUUUUCUUCCCCCUGUUUUGUACAGUUUGUAAAGCUUAAGUGCGUGUGCUUCAUGGGCCGAUACCUGGACUCGGCUCCAUCCAUCCAGAGGUUUCUAUGUCAUACGCACUUUUUAUUCCUGAUGUAAACAAACCCUCCAACAUGCAACACCGCUACCCAUCACAGGGGGGGAGUAUUUCUUAAGGCUUGGAUCUUUUACCGUGCAUGAAGUUAUUGGAAAGUCUUUAUUAAUGCAACCCGACAGAGGGAACAUGAAAAUGUCACAUUUAAAUCUGAACACAUUUAAUUUAUCUGACUCCAUACAGCACUGUGAUGCCAGAAACUACUAAUCUGAAGCCUAAAGGAAACAUUUGAAUCACUGUAAUAUGUUUGUCAUGAAAUAACGCCUGUGAUAUCCUCAGGACCUGACGGGGAUGAAGCUCUUCUUUUUUGUCAUGCAGUGCUGGAACACGUGCCGACCCAUCCGCAGUCUUCUGAGGGCUUACUGGAAACAAGUCCUGUGAAAUGAAGCCGUGGGCUCCAGUGGGGAAGUAGAACAUAACACGUUUCAGGAACAGAAAAGGUGUUUUCCUCCCAUCUCCCCACAGCCCCUUCAGCCGGAUUUACAUGACACAUGAUGCAUCAUCCAAUCAGGGAACCGCUACAUUCCUGGUGAACCUUCAAUACAACACACUAGGUAGAACAAAUGUCUUCUUUUAAUCUUCUUGUCAUUCCACAAGAUUCAUUAUUGGGUUAACUGGAUGUAUUAUUUGGAACAGAAACGGGAUCAAGCGGCAUUCUUUUGAGCAGAGCUACAGCGCGAAGCACCACGAACGGAAAGAGGAAGUACAUUUGCGGUAGGCCUCUUCGUGGUAAAACUGCCAACCUACAUGUGGGCAUUAGGAAAGCGUCACGUUAGGACCUAAACGGAGCACCUCGUGCUUAUCGCCCUUGUUGCGGACGGCGAGACAAGUGGCAUCCCUCAUUAGAACGCCGCCCGGUGGUGCUUAUGCAACCGAUCCACCGGGGCGAUGUGCCUUUAAAAGCAGUUGGCUGUCAGGUGAUCGAGGAGGCUCCGUCAGCUCAGCCUCACGGGCAGACGAGCCAGUGCGUCUCUAGCCGAGAGGAGUGCGCCAGAGAGUGAGGGGGGGGAGGGACCCAAAUACAAGGGGACAGGGGGUGGGGGGCAAAUGGGGACACAGCAGCGUCACACAGUUGGGGACAGGAAGCCACGGUGGUAGGGUCCCUUUUUACCUGCAGUCUGCUCAUGCUCACUUGCCGUGCGUGCGGGCUAGCUAGCUCCUGUGUGUUCCAUCUUGGUGAAGAAGUUGUCGUCGUGAGAGCCACAACCGUGGUGCGAAAGCACAGAGAAUUAAGUGCUGCGUCACAGUCGGUGGACGAGGAAUAGCCUGCGUGUGUGUGUGUGCGUGUACAUGCAGACAUGCGCACAUACACAUGCAUUUGUGCGGGUUCUGCUUUGUGUGUGUGUGUGUGUUAGCUUCUAGUAGCAGACUAAAGGCAGUUCUGUUGCAACAAGAUGAAAAAUGGAGAGUGCGUGUGUUUGAGAGGACAGCAGAGAGGGAGGGAGGGAGAGAGAGAGCGAGACGGGGAGAGAGACAGAGAGCGGUAAAGAGAGAGGCAGAGAGAGAUUUUGGAUUAGUUGCUACGUCACUUUUUCAUGUCAGGAGAAACGGAAGCUGAGAUAACCGAGGAGCCCACAGUCAUCGAGUUUUCUUUUUUCAACCGAAAUCGCCACAGUGGUUUCGGACAACCUCGACUUCCUCCUCCUCUUCCUCCUUCCUAGUUUUGUUUUCAUCUGCCCGUCUGGGUGUGUGCAUGUGUGUGUGCGCGGUGUGUGUGUUUGUCUGUUGUUUUUUCUAGGUUCUUUGAGGUGGUAUCGGGAGUUUCAACAUGGAUGCUGAAGAUGUGACACAGUUUCUCUAGGUCUUGGUAAGAUGUGUGCGCGUGCGUGUGUGUGUGUGUGGUCUGGGUGGGCAGAGGUGCGACAAAGGGGUUAACAUAAGAAUAUUCUGGAGGGUUCUCAAUAUCACAACGCAGCUCGGUGUGGAAUGUUUUGCUGAGACUGAUUAGAGGCAUUCAAACAUUUCUUCUUUACAUCACCUUAAGGAAUACGAAUGAUUCCAUUGGUGAAUACAAUCGUGCAUCGUGCCGUCUGACCUAUCAUUAUGAAACCGUAUUCGACGUCUAAUACACCAUUUGACGGGGGUGUGCGCAGAUGCAGCCGGGCGGACAUUACGGUAGCCUUUAACAGGAUAUAACAACAGGAUAAGUUGGUGCUUUGACUUCGGCCAAAAGGGUAACCGCAUUUACGUCACUGCGUGUGUGUGUGUCUGCUCACACUGUUGACUGCUGUUAAAGGAAAAGAGUGCCUCCAUACAUGCCUGCUUCUCCAUGCUCAGAGACCGAUUGGGAUCCAGCUGUAAGCUGACAACGGAUCAGCUCGGUGUCUGUGUUUAGUGGCACCAACACCCUCUCGCCCCCCCCCGUCCCCGUCACCUCCCCACUCCAGGGCCACUGGGAUUUGGCAAAACCAUUGUCAAUACAUUUGUUUCUGCGUAGUUGGGAGGGACGGAGAUGGUGACGCAGUCUUUUUUUUUCUUUUUUUUUCUUCGGGGGCUGGACGUCUCUUCAGCCAGUACACCGCUGGUACCGAGCCAGAGAAGGGGGCUAAACGUCACGGCUCAGGAUCAGAGAGAUGGGGG
Molecule: long non-coding RNA, 3860 nt
Organism: Gasterosteus aculeatus aculeatus (three-spined stickleback)
Lineage: Eukaryota; Metazoa; Chordata; Actinopteri; Perciformes; Gasterosteidae
Source: Ensembl